This 484-nucleotide ribosomal RNA is filed under the name uncultured bacterium. Its description in RNAcentral is "partial 16S ribosomal RNA". It matches the Rfam family "Bacterial small subunit ribosomal RNA", at positions 30 to 507 of the family's 1533-position model. The record is from RNAcentral.
AUUGAACGCUGGCGGCAUGCCUUACACAUGCAAGUCGAACGGCAGCGCGGACUUCGGUCUGGCGGCGAGUGGCGAACGGGUGAGUAAUACAUCGGAACGUACCCUGUUGUGGGGGAUAACUAGUCGAAAGAUUAGCUAAUACCGCAUACGACCUGAGGGUGAAAGUGGGGGACCGCAAGGCCUCACGCAGCAGGAGCGGCCGAUGUCUGAUUAGCUUGUUGGUGGGGUAAAGGCCCACCAAGGCGACGAUCAGUAGCUAGUCUGAGAGGACGAUCAGCCACACUGGGACUGUGACACGGCCCAGACUCCUACGGGAGGCAGCAGUGGGGAAUUUUGGACAAUGGGGGCAACCCUGAUCCAGCAAUGCCGCGUGUGUGAAGAAGGCCUUCGGGUUGUAAAGCACUUUUGUCCGGAAAGAAAUCGCGCUGGUUAAUACCUGGCGUGGAUGACGGUACCGGAAGAAUAAGCACCGGCUAACUACGUG